RNAcentral lists this ribosomal RNA (113 nucleotides) under Trichomalopsis sarcophagae. The record is from RNAcentral. Lineage: Eukaryota; Metazoa; Arthropoda; Insecta; Hymenoptera; Pteromalidae.
GCCAACAGCCAUACUACGCUGAAUGCACCGGUUCUCGUCCGAUCACCGAAGUUAAGCAGCGUUAGGCGAGGUUAGUACUUGGAUGGGUAUUUCAAACGCACCAACAGUAUGUC